Molecule: RNA transcript, 6965 nt
Organism: Diorhabda carinulata
Lineage: Eukaryota; Metazoa; Arthropoda; Insecta; Coleoptera; Chrysomelidae
Gene name: metabotropic glutamate receptor-like protein P
Exons: 9
Source: RefSeq, a predicted model, not a curated record
AAGUUAAUCAAGUGAUUGUGAUAAGUGAAUUGUUAUAAGUUACUAACUUUAUAGAAAGGAUAAAGAAAAAAAGAAAGAAAAACAAUACAGUUAUAUAGAUUAUAUAAAACAUAUAGAUUGCGAAGUAUAGGCGCUUACCCACGAAGAAAAAAAAAUAAGACUGGCAAAAAGUUAAUUUCGGCUAAAACAAAUAAUUUUUUUCUUCCUUACGGCCGUUCCUAACGUAAUAUAAAACAUUGGAAGGACAAUUUGUAUAGUAUACACAAGAAAACGAAACAGGUUAUUUGUUUAUCCAUUUUUUCUUCACAUUUACAAUAAUUUCGUAUAUCGCUUUGCUGAAAAUUUUGAUGUUCUAAUACCAACACAAAUUCCUCAAUCGUAUUUUUACUAUGCUUCCAAAAAAUACAAAAAAAUAUUGGAAUGUCAAUGGACAAAAUGUAGAUUUAAAUAUUUUUAAUUCUAAUCAAUCAUCAAAUUGUGAACCGUCCAAAACAAAUACUUCCUAUAAUUCCGAAAAUACAGAAGUUAACUCAAACAACGCAGUGAACAUGGAAUCUAAGUAUGGUUAUGAGUAUACAGAAUUUGAAUCGCAGCAUUAUAGAAAUUCUCAACAAAAUUCGUUAUCUGCAUCACUAACGGCAGAGGAACCUGACCAAUAUAGAUUAGAACAUUCUAAUGAGCUUGCAGUUAGUAAAAACACGGAAUCAAGCAUUGAUCGAGAAAAUUAUCUACUAUUCAAUGAUUCAAUUUUCAAAAACCCAGGAUUUUAUAAACCAAUCAAGGAUUUUGAGGCAACAUCCAAUGCACCUCAAGGUAUUGAAUCUACAAAUUCAGAUCAUUAUAAAAUGUUGAGCCUUUCAAAUAUUCCAUCAAAUCAAUCCUCUUUUCCUUUCAAUAAUUAUGAAAACGAGUAUAGUCGACCACAAGCCACAACUUCAUACUCCUAUCCAGAAGAACAAAGUUCAAUUAGGACUCAGUCACUCAACUUGACAGGCGCUGCAAGUGCAUAUGAUUCCCAAACUUUGCAAGGCCAACAAUGUAGUCAUGGGAGUAAUAAAUCGAAUCAAUCGUCAUUUGCAAAUGGGAUAUUUUUGGAAGAAACUACUUAUGAUCUUCCAAAAACUAUGAGAGGAUCUGAAGUUACUAAUUCUCAACAAACUGCUACACCCAAAGAACCUACUAUGCAUUACGAACAAGAUUGGACAACUCAGACAUACACUAAUUAUACGUCUGAAGUUCCAGAACAACAAAGAACUGAAAAUGAUUACAAAGAAAAAAAGUUUCAAAGAGAAGCCGGUUAUAAGCGGGAAUAUCAAUUUGAGAAGUUAUUACGAGAAAAAAAUGAAGCUUUAGGUGAACAUACGUCAUUAUUAGAGAAGAAACGCAAAAGUAAUAAGUUAUUCCAAAAAAAUGUACUAGCACCUAUACCAUCUGAAAAACAAAAAGUUCCCAGGAAAAGAAAAACUGAUAAUACGAGGAAAAGGCGCUUCAAAGUUAAAGAAUCUGACGUAGUGAGUAACACUGCAGGCACAAUAGAUAAUAUGCAAGAAAAUGUAGUCGCUCCUUCAUUUAAUAAUAAUGUUAUGAGGAACCAACAGCUAUAUAAGUCGGUACAGCCAAGUGGACCUCCAAUGAUGGUGCCAUCUGGUUUUAAUUUUAAUUAUCCUGUGGCUCCAAACAACAUUUAUCUUAAUCCUUACGAGCAACAAACAAUUUACUUAAGUCACAUGGCUCAACAACGUAAUACAGUAGGACCAGCUGUGUUAUCAUCUGCAACAGAAGCGAAUUCGGUACAAACCUGGCCAAGAAUGUCCUAUAUGAAUACUUAUUAUGGACAUCCAAUAAAUCCAGGUUUAUAUCCGCAUGGAUAUCUAUCGAACUAUUUACCGCAUGAAUAUAGACGUGGUUAUCCUGAUACACAAACAAGUGAAUAUAUUCAAGGAAAUGACGUCAACUUACGAGAGUAUAGAUGAUAAUCGAUGGUUUCGUUAUUGUGGUGUUAUAGGAUCAUAUGGAUAAUGUAAUAAAUCUUAUAACAAAUCAAAUAAUUAUAUGAAUAAGAUUAACUUUGUUUCCCGACAAGAAUUUGAACAAUAAAUAUCUAUUAUAUUCAUCUUGACGAUUUUUCACUGGAGGAACAAGUUGGAUAGAUAACUGACGCUAAGUUUAAAACUUGAAGCUAGUCAUCUCUUGGAAUUCUCUCAAAAUAUUGAUCUAACCGCGAAUAUUUUGUGGUAUAUGAAUUUGCUUUAACGGCACGUUUAUCUUUAAAAUAUUUGCUUUUACUAAUCCUGUACCACCAAACAAAACUGUUUAUAUGACAAACUAUUGUUUUUUCGACGUUUUUGAGAUUGGUGAAUCAUCGUAAAUUCACACACGGCGGGAAUAUCACGAAAUGCGCAAUUCUUAAAUGCCCCACUGUUUGGAAAACCUCAAGCGUGUACUAACUAACGAGUUACUUUUAUUUACAUGAAGAAGGUUAAAUUUCAUAUACUGGUUCAAUUCUAAUGCCAAGAGUUUUGGAUUUUCUUUGCUUUUGCUUCCAAUGAUUCCAAGAGUAAUUCCCAGUUGAAUAAAGAUCAGCUCGUGCAAUAUAGGAGGAUUGCCAUCAAAUCAAAAUACCAUGGGAGUUAUAUUGGAGGAAGAAGACUUUGAUAUAUUCGCGUUCAAAGAAACGAGACUGCCAGGCUACAACGUUUAUAGAGAUGAUAUAAACGGAUGCUCCGGUGGCACAGCGAUAAUAAAGAAAACAUGAAAUAAACCAACUGAACGGACUACUUAGCAUGAAGGCGGCAAUAGUAGUCAUGAACACUACAAAUGGCCAUACUAGAAUAAUAUCGACAUACGACGGCUUGAAAUCAGUAUCCACGAGGAAGACGUGUUAGAGGUUAACCCUAAUGGGAAAAAAGCAUAAUUAAGGACACCUAAAUGCCAAGUCCUAGUAAAAUUUCGAGGGUAGGGCAGCUGUUAGGACGAUUACGGAAAUAACCAGUAAGAAAACGCUAAAGCAGCAGGUCUGUUUCUUCGAAGAAGCGAUAGAAGAAAUUUCCACAGUGGUCGAAGCAGACAAAUAUAGCAGAUUGCAAAAUAUAAACGACAAUCUAAAAAAAUUAUUGGGGACGAAAAUCUAAAAGCUGGAAGAGUCGAAAGGAGGCAAAACCAGGAAGAAAAAAGAGGAGAAAACAGAAUGGAACAACAGAAGGAUGAAAAGCCGCAAAAAAUAAAGUAAAUCACUGAUGCCAAUUCAAGAAAUCCACGCGAUGGAGCUGAAAAACACCAAGGAACCUCAGUUUACACUGAACAUCCCAACAAAGACAUGGAUUUCUCAGACAUGAUAGAUUAUUUGUUAGUGUUGAUAAUCACGUUCUAAAAUACUUUUCAACAAAUGUUUUGUAUCACAUAAAAAUCUAUUAAUGAAAUGCAUUUGUUCCCAAAUCUAAAUUUAUUAAAAUCAGCUCUAAUCAUUCAAUAAGUAAAAAUUGGCUAUUUUCUUAUACAAUUCUAUUUAAGAGUAAAUAUUUUCACCUUAUUUUAUAAAUGGUAAAACAUUUUUUUCAGGUUUUUAUUAUAACUGAAGGAAUAUCAGAUUACUAUUCAAAUCCAAUUAGUCUACAUUUCACUGGAGUAAGCAAAUAAGUACUCUUACAAUAUAUUUCUCUCGAUGUUUUUCUUAUAAUAGUUCUUUUUUUAUGAUACUCUACAACUUUGAGAAAUAUUAUGAGGAAAAACAUAAAUUUGAUAAUAUAUUAUAUUAUUAGUUGGGUAGUAGUAUACGCCGUUAAUAAAAUUCAAAGUUACCAAGUCAAUUUGGUGGUAUAAGAUACACACGUUUUGUGGAUCGUUAUUUUCAAGAUUCCUACGUGAAAUACGUGUACCGCUCUCUGAAGGCGAUAACAGGAAACUAUAACUUACGCUGGUUACUUGUUAGAUGUCGCUAAUGUUCAAUGAAAAUUGUUACGAAGAUUAUUUAUAAAUUUUAUUUUUUUCUAGCUUUUUCAAUUUCGAAUAUUCAUUUCGAUUUAUUUUUCAAUAUGUUUUUAUUCAUUUUUUGUAUUACUCUUAUUUCCUUAAGAUAUAUUUGAAAAAAUGAACUAUAAUAAUGUUCUAUUUUAAUUAAUCUCGUUAAUAAUAAAAACCUUCGUUCAUUUAAAUGAGAGGUUCUCAAAGUUGACUAGAUUCCAUCUAGAAAUUUAAAAAAGAAAAAAACAUAAAUAAAUUAUUUUUUAUUUGAUUCUCAAAUAACCUAGAAACAGUUUAUUUUAAUAGUACAGUACAUUUUUAGUAUCAUUUAUAUCAUUUAGACGUAAAUCGGGUCUAAUAAAGAUAUGAUCUAGUAAAUAGAAGGUUGAGAAGAAAAGAAAGAUUCUUCUAACAGACAAUGAUACUUUCCAUGAAAAGAAAGAAUGUCGUCAAUUACUUGCAAUUGAAAGUAUUUGUCAGUGAUGUAUCUGCUAACGAAUCACUGAACUCUUCACUUGCUUUUAUUGAAUAUUAGUAAUUGUUAAAUUUAUUCCUAAACAAUGAUAAUGAGUCGAAAUUUCAGAGAGUACACUUGGGUUUUUACAACACAGAUUUCAAAUGUUUAAAAAUAAUCAUAUUUAUCAUGCUCAAUAUAACUCUACCAUAAAAUAAUCUUUUCCAUGAUCGCUUUAAGGCCACUUGACAACGUGCAAUUCAAUGCAAGUCGCAAUAUUUCUUGAGCAUGCAUUUUCAUUAGGUGCAAGUUGCAAUUCUAGAGAGUAAUGAGUUUCUAAUCUGCUGAUAUUACGUUUCCCGCCAACGAUAUCUUAGUUAUCUCAUGUUUCAUUUUCAUUAGAAGUUUUUCAAGUGUUUCUUCAUCCAUUAUCGAGUAAAUUUUUAUGUUUUCUCAUCUAAUUCCAGACCAUGUCCUACCAUUGCCUACGUGUUAUUUCUGUCUGAAAAAGCAAGCAGCAGCAGAUAUAAUUAUUGCGAGUGAUGCACUCUUUCUUAUUCACUUCACUUUGCUAUUUUUAUUUUUAAACCGAUCACAAAAUAUUGAAUGAAAUUUGAGGUUAGGGAAUGAUAAGUGACCAUUCAAUUGAUCUUACCUUGCAUCAUGUCAAGCGGCCUUUGUUGUUAUCGUUUUGGACCUUGCAGAUACAAAUUGAGCUUAACUUUAGAACGAUUUCACCAUGUAGUAAAUGUAAGUAUAUUUUGUUUAUCAUUCUAAGUAAAUUGUUACCUAAUUCCGUAGUUCCACUAAUCAUGUAAGUACUUUACCCUAGAUAACUGAUGUACCGCCAUGCGGAAAAGAAGAAAUGUAUGAAGAUUAUCUAUUGUGUAUUUCUGUGAAGACUACGAUGGAUUUAUUAAGGAGAGGAUCUGUCUCCAACAACAAUUGUAUAUCGAAAUAAUGGGAUUAUUUCAAAUAAAACAUUCAUUUAAGUACACGUUAAUAUUAUAUUACAUAACGCAUCAACGAAUGAUUGUUGAAUUUCAAUAUUCAGACUUAUGAAUUUUCAAAAUAAAAGCGCAAUCGAUUCCAUUUUAACAUUGUUUAUUUUACGAAAAAAAAAUUUGUUAUUGAAUUGAAAGAACUAUAAUAUCCCUUACUGACAAACAAUUUGAAUGUACUUAAAUGAAUAUUUCAAUUGACACAUUCACAGUUAUAGUUUAAUUACUUUUGUUAGACUCAUUUGAAAGGUUUUCUCACAAAAAUUUAAUACCUUUAAUACCUGAUUAAAUUAUCUCAUUCGGUACUUGUAUAUAAUAUCUUCAGUCAAACUAUGAGAUUUUAAUUUGAAAGCAAUUAAUUCAGCCAUUUCAUAGGAAACUAACCGAGACACACUAAAUUGCUUUUCAAAAACCUGUACUAGUUUUAAUAAUUUCUGAAAGUAGCUUUUGUCCUUUGAUGACAGCAAAGGUUGUUUAAAAAUCAAGUAAUGUUUGAUUUCGCUCGGGACCAUAGAACUGUCUUAACUCCACUAUCCUUGCGAUGAAAUUAUCUUUAUUCACGGAGAAAUCUUUAUUUGUACUGCACCCGGAUUCGUUAGUAUGACCGCGAUUAUUUUCAUCGCUAAGUUUUCAUUUUUUUAUCCAUUUAUCCGUAAAAACAACAUGUUGUAUAUUACGUGCGACAGAAAGCGAAUAAUAAAUAUAACUGAGAAACUCGACUAUAUACAAACACCAAAACGCGACGAGGUCAACAUCUCUGUUUUUUUAUUGAAAACAUCAGUAGUUUUAUUGGAGUUUACUCCUUAAGAAUCGAUUUGCAUAUAUAAGGGGCCCGGUAUGAGAAAAAUGUGAGGAGUAAAAUCUAUCGAUGAAAGACCUCGUUACGUUUUUGGUGCGCACCCUAUGAUGCGCAACUUUCUAAUUUGUCAGUGUCAACAUACAUACUUAUAUUGCUGUUUUUAUUAUAAACAUCAAUAAUUAAUAUUGUUAUUGUGAAGUUUUAAUUUUUAUCAUUGUGUUCCGCUAAAGUGAACUGAAAGUAUUUUCAAAUAACUAUGGCAGAAAGAGGUGUAGAUGAUAUUGCCGGAACAUCUAACAAACACGUGGUUGCAAGGUACGUUAUAAUUCAUGUAUUAUAUGUAUGAGCAUGUGCAAUUUUUAUUUAUUAAAUAUUUUAAUAGUUAUCGAUGUAGUUCAUAUAAAUAUAUAUUUGAAAACAACACAUAAAAUUAGAUAAUCAACCCAAUAUGAAUUAUCGAGCCCACAUAAAAUAGAAAAUUUCGAACCGAAACAAAAAUUAAUUUUUUUGUCGAUGUCUAUAAAUUCAAAGAUGAUGGAUUGACAUUAAUAAAAUUUUUAAAAUUUGAACUGAAUUUAGAUAUUGUUUCUGAUAGAGCAAUGGGGACAACGAGGUAUGGUACAACCAUUGAUGCGGUAUUUUCAAGAUUCGUGAACCACGUAUCUACGAACGUCCAUGUGUCUUAUUUUAGUUACCAUAAACCACUUGCCACUGUAAUUAAUAAUGCAGACAAUGUUGAUUUAAUUAAUAU